GAUGAACGCUGGCGGCGUGCCUAAUACAUGCAAGUCGAGCGAACAGACGAGGAGCUUGCUCCUCUGACGUUAGCGGCGGACGGGUGAGUAACACGUGGAUAACCUACCUAUAAGCCUGGGAUAACUUCGGGAAACCGGAGCUAAUACCGGAUAAUAUAUUGAACCGCAUGGUUCAAUAGUGAAAGACGGUUUUGCUGUCACUUAUAGAUGGAUCCGCGCCGCAUUAGCUAGUUGGUAAGGUAACGGCUUACCAAGGCAACGAUGCGUAGCCGACCUGAGAGGGUGAUCGACCACACUGGAACUGAGACACGGUCCAGACUCCUACGGGAGGCAGCAGUAGGGAAUCUUCCGCAAUGGGCGAAAGCUUGACGGAGCAACGCCGCGUGAGUGAUGAAGGUCUUCGGAUCGUAAAACUCUUUUAUUAGGGAAGAACAAAUGUGUAAGUAACUAUGCACGUCUUGACGGUACCUAAUCAGAAAGCCACGGCUAACUACGUG
Molecule: ribosomal RNA, 497 nt
Filed under: uncultured bacterium
Lineage: Bacteria
Description: partial 16S ribosomal RNA
Rfam family: Bacterial small subunit ribosomal RNA
Source: RNAcentral